UACGAAGGGGACUAGCGUUGUUCGGAUUUACUGGGCGUAAAGCGCGCGUAGGCGGAUCGCUAAGUCAGGGGUGAAAUCCCAGGGCUCAACCCUGGAACUGCCUUUGAUACUGACGGUCUGGAGAUCGGGAGAGGUUGGUGGAAUUCCGAGUGUAGAGGUGAAAUUCGUAGAUAUUCGGAGGAACACCGAUGGCGAAGGCAGCCCCCUGGGCUAGCACUGACGCUCAGGCACGAAAGCGUGGGAAGCAAACAGG
RNAcentral lists this ribosomal RNA (253 nucleotides) under uncultured bacterium. Its description in RNAcentral is "partial 16S ribosomal RNA". It matches the Rfam family "Bacterial small subunit ribosomal RNA", at positions 524 to 776 of the family's 1533-position model. The record is from RNAcentral.